Humulus lupulus (European hop) is the source of this 321-nucleotide long non-coding RNA. RefSeq lists it as uncharacterized. The record is from RefSeq and is a predicted model, not a curated record. Lineage: Eukaryota; Viridiplantae; Streptophyta; Magnoliopsida; Rosales; Cannabaceae. The transcript is spliced from 3 exons.
GGUGAAGUUCUCAGGCGUGGGUGGUGCUGCCAUUCUCUUCAAGGGAAUUGGUACUGCGGUAUCUUUUUUUGUUCAAGCAUGGUGCAUACAACUAAGAGGUCCUGUCUUUGUUGCAAUGUUCAGCCCUCUAUGCACUGUUAUAACAGCCAUUAUAGCCUCUUUGUUUCUACAUGAGAAGUUAUAUGCUGGAAGCUUGGUCGGUGCUUUAGCUGUGAUUAUUGGGCUAUAUAUUGUGCUUUGGGGAAAGGCAAAAGACCUUGAGGAGAUUAAACAGGAGACUAAAGAUAUUCCAAAGCUGGAGGGUGAUCAAACGAAAUCUAU